GCAUGGCUUCAGUCCCCCAUGGAAGAGGCUGGGCUCCCCGCUGCUCAGAGCUCCUGGUUAGGGACAUCCACGCCUGCACCUGGCUCGGAGUCCAGGGUGCGCAUAUUCCGGAUCCAGCCACGAGAUGUUCCUGCUGCGGCUGCAGGUGUUUCCCAGCCCAGCUUGCUGAACCUCCAGCUCUGACUUUGGCACCUUCUUCAUUCCAGCUCUGGCUCUCAGAUGCUCCACUUGAUGGCUGCUCCAGUUCCUUCCAGCUCUGGCUAAAUAACUGGCGUCUCUUACGUAAUCUGUGUCUAUGUUCUGUCAUUUAUGUCCA
Long non-coding RNA from Ficedula albicollis (Collared flycatcher), 316 nucleotides. RefSeq lists it as uncharacterized. Lineage: Eukaryota; Metazoa; Chordata; Aves; Passeriformes; Muscicapidae. The record is from RefSeq and is a predicted model, not a curated record. The transcript has 3 exons.